This 460-nucleotide ribosomal RNA is filed under the name uncultured bacterium. RNAcentral describes it as "partial 16S ribosomal RNA". It matches the Rfam family "Bacterial small subunit ribosomal RNA", at positions 338 to 795 of the family's 1533-position model. The record is from RNAcentral.
CUUACGGGUGGCAGCAGUGAGGAAUAUUGGUCAAUGGACGAGAGUCUGAACCAGCCAAGUAGCGUGAAGGAUGACUGCCCUAUGGGUUGUAAACUUCUUUUAUAUGGGAAUAAAAUGUUCCACGUGUGGGAUUUUGUAUGUACCAUAUGAAUAAGGAUCGGCUAACUCCGUGCCAGCAGCCGCGGUAAUAUGGAGGAUCCGAGCGUUAUCCGGAUUUAUUGGGUUUAAAGGGAGCGUAGGUGGAUUGUUAAGUCAGUUGUGAAAGUUUGCGGCUCAACCGUAAAAUUGCAGUUGAAACUGGCAUUCUUGAGUACAGUAGAGGUGAGCGGAAUUCGUGGUGUAGCGGUGAAAUGCUUAGAUAUCACGAAGAACUCCGAUUGCGAAGGCAGUUCACUGGACUGCAACUGACACUGAGGCUCGAAAGUGUGGGUAUCAAACAGGAUUAGAUACCCCAGUAGUC